CUGGUCUCAAGGUUGCAUGCUAUCCGUAGCUUCCUUCACUUACCGAUGGCUCCCAUUUCUCCUGGACUGUGACCUUCCUGUUGGAUUUGCUUGAAUGGACUUCUGAGUUUUAUGUGGAUUUACCUAAGACCAGACCAAACUUAAGACAGCACGCGAGGACAAUGGGCCUUCAUCAACAUAACUCUUUGGAGUAAUGACCGCAACCAGUCUACCAUCACCCGGUUCCUCUGUCAGAAAGGCCGGGAUCUGAAAUUGUAUGUCCAGGACUUCCUCAACUGCUGUAGCUGGGCAUCCGGUGAUGACCUUACUUUAAUGGGGGGAUUUUGGUAAGGACUGGAUGAUAAUAUCCGGUUCGUUGUGACUAUGGCUGAUCCAAGCUGGGAGUUGGAUUCUUACAUCAAUUUCACUCUUUGGAUAGUUGGAUCAGCAUUCACCGUAGGCAAAGUGGCUGAUGAUCACCAGUCAUCACCAGUCAUGGCCACCAAUCCCGAGUCUGCAUGCAACACGGACGCUGACCUUCAGUCAUUACCUGUCAUAGCCACCCAGCUUUUGUUAUCACCCAUUAUGGCUGCUGAUUGUCAGUGAACACUGAUCAUGGCAACUGAUGGCCAGACAUCACACAAGGUGGCCGUCGUACUAGUACUCACUCCAGUCCCAGGCAUGACUCCAAAUCUCUGUCCAGUCCCCGUGUCAGUUCCAGAACUUAGUCUAGUCCCUAAGUCUGAUCCAGUGCCCACACAAUCUCCAUUUGUGAGAGCCUCCCCCGGGUAAGGCCGAGUCUACAAUGCAUUUCUUGAGGACCCAACUUCGGAGAUCCCAAGUCUGGUUGUCCUGGAGGACCCGAUUCUGGUGGUCCCAAGUCCUGUGCUCCAGGGGGACCCAACUUCUGAGAUCCCAAGUCCAGUGGUCCUGGAGGACCUGACCCCUGUGGUCUUUAGUUUGGUGGUCUCAGAGGUUCCUAGACAACCUGCUCUAUAACAGCAGGCCACAGAAGCCACUACAGAGCUGCCCAAUCUCACAACUGCUGCCAUAGUCAAGAAAGCUGUUUUCACCUUUAACCUCAUGGCUGUUCUGAGUGCAUGGGCCAUUUCAAGGUCUGCUCCUACAUCCACUUAAGUAUCCUCUGCAGUCUGGGAGCUAUCUAAGUCCACUGAAGUGUCAGCUCCAGCCCCAGAGUCCGCUCCAGUGUCGGCUCCAGCUCCCGAGUCUGCUCAUUACAUUAAGUUCAAUCUAGAAUCCAUUACAGUCUGAACUAAUUCAGAGUCUUUUCCAAUUCUAGAGUUCAGUCACAAGUCUGCUCCGGCCCCAAAAUUCAGUACAGAGUUUGUUCUGGCCCCUGAGUCUGCAUCAGAGCCUACUCUAACCCUUAAAUUUUCAUCAGAGCCCACUUGCACCAGUGAAUUAAAACUAAGUUUACAUUCAGUCCAAAGGCCCCUACAAGAAUCCCAUUCAGACCAUGCACCCAUCUUAGAGCACAACUCCAGAUCUGUUCAAGCCCCUGACCAGAGUCGAGAGAAACCUUGCAUUCCAGAAUCUAGCCCAGAGAGGGCUCCUGUUCCAGAGU
Long non-coding RNA from Cyprinus carpio carpio, 1564 nucleotides. NCBI's taxonomy places the organism in Eukaryota, Metazoa, Chordata, Actinopteri, Cypriniformes, Cyprinidae. The record is from Ensembl.